Molecule: non-coding RNA, 285 nt
Organism: Pelobates cultripes (western spadefoot toad)
Lineage: Eukaryota; Metazoa; Chordata; Amphibia; Anura; Pelobatidae
Source: the annotation of a GenBank genome assembly
CUGCAAUAUAAAUCCCACUUCAAUUAUACAUUGUUCUGAAAUGCUUGGCUUUGGCUCAUAAACUCUUUGAUACAAUGUAAAUUGUAUAAUUGGGUGUGGCCCCCAAUGUUCUAUGUUCUAACUUGCUCCCUCUCUAUAUUGUAGUUUUGCUCAACUCCUUUCAGGACAAGUAACAUACCAGGCUAUUUUUCCUCCAGUUAUUACUGAAUGGUGUUAUACUAACACCUAUCCAAAACAAUAUAUUACAGGGGGAUACAACUCACCUGAAAAACCAAAGAAAUACAG